Molecule: ribosomal RNA, 490 nt
Filed under: uncultured bacterium
Lineage: Bacteria
Description: bacterial SSU rRNA
Rfam family: Bacterial small subunit ribosomal RNA
Source: RNAcentral
GAUUAACGCUGGCGGCAUGCCUAAUACAUGCAAGUCGAACGGAAGCAGCAAUGCUUUAGUGGCGAACGGGUGAGUAACACGUAGGGAACCUACCUAUACGACGAGGAUAACUACUGGAAACGGUAGCUAAAACUGGAUAGGAUCAAUUGAGGCAUCUUGAUUGAUUUAAAGAUCCUUCGGGAUUACGUAGAGAUGGCCCUGCGGCGCAUUAGCUAGUUGGUGAGGUAACGGCCACCAAGGCGACGAUGCGUAGCUGAGCUGAGAGGCUAAACAGCCACACUGGGACUGAGACACGGUUCCCAGACUCCUACGGGAGGCAGCAGUAGGGAAUUUUCGGCAAUGGGGGAAACCCUGACCGAGCAAUGCCGCGUGAACGAUGAAGGUCUUCGGAUUGUAAAGUUCUGUGAUUGGGGAAGAAUGGUAUUCUUAGGGAAUGAGGAGUACAUGACGGUACCCGAUUAGAAAGCCCCGGCUAACUAUGUGCCAGCAG